Long non-coding RNA from Cynoglossus semilaevis (tongue sole), 835 nucleotides. RefSeq lists it as uncharacterized. Lineage: Eukaryota; Metazoa; Chordata; Actinopteri; Pleuronectiformes; Cynoglossidae. The record is from RefSeq and is a predicted model, not a curated record. The transcript is spliced from 4 exons.
AUUUCAUUUCCAUUUAGCUGUUCAGGUCUGUCUGUUUCCGUUCCCUGUUGUCUGCUGUGUGGGGUAAGCUGUCUGUUCACACUCACCUGUUGUGGUAAUUGGCCUCACUUGUGCCACCUGCUGCUCCCUGUGUAUAUAUACCCCUGUCCCUCACGCAGGCCUGGUUGGCUCAUUGUGACGGUGUCGUGUCAUUGUGUAGCGUCGCUGUUCUGUAGCAGUUCGUGAGUUUCCUGUUCCUGUGUUUCGUCGUGUUCCCUCGUGUUCCGUGUUACAAAGAGAGUUCCAUACCAGGUAGUUCUUCCUGUUUUGUUAAUUUAGACAUUGUUAAUAAAACUUUUCCCUGCCCCAGUACCGCAUUUGGGCCCUACCUGCUUCCUGCAAUGUCGUUGCCCACACGUGGCAGCUACUGCUAACGGGUUUUCGCAUGAUUCCUGGAUGGAAAGAACAUCAGCUUCAACUUCACCUAUCAAAGGUCAAGUCCAUCAUAAUGAAUUUGAUUCUACGAUGAAGAUGAAGAGUCAGACUCCUGUUAAUAGAGGACAAGACAUCAACAAAGUGGCAGCGUGUUAUCUUCAAAGCCAGCCGUCAGAAAUACUUGGCCAUAGAUGACUGCCGAAACCCGGGGUUGAACCAGGGACAUUCAGGUCUUCAGUCUGACGCUCUCCCAACUGAGCUAUUUCGGCUACCUGUAAGUAUCUUGUACUUAUUCGUUUCCACCAUAUACCAAUAUGUUUGAUUAGAGCAGUGGUUCUCAAACUGUGGUACAUGUACGUCACAUAAAUUGAACAUUUUGUCCCACGUAUGUAACGUCGAAUGACAAUUCGACAUUACUUAA